RNAcentral lists this ribosomal RNA (305 nucleotides) under uncultured bacterium. Its description in RNAcentral is "bacterial SSU rRNA". It matches the Rfam family "Bacterial small subunit ribosomal RNA", at positions 337 to 640 of the family's 1533-position model. The record is from RNAcentral.
ACCUACGGGAGGCAGCAGUGAGGAAUAUUGGUCAAUGGGCUAAGGCCUGAACCAGCCAAGUCGCGUGAGGGAAGACGGUCCUAUGGAUUGUAAACCUCUUUUGUCGGGGAGCAACGAGGCCACGUGUGGCCGAAGUGAGAGUACCUGAAGAAAAAGCAUCGGCUAACUCCGUGCCAGCAGCCGCGGUAAUACGGAGGAUGCGAGCGUUAUCCGGAUUUAUUGGGUUUAAAGGGUGCGUAGGCGGAAUGCCAAGUCAGCGGUAAAAUCGCGGGGCUCAACCUCGCUCCGCCGUUGAAACUGGCGUU